AUGACGAUCCCUCCCUGGACCGCCCUGAUUCUUCCCUCCAUCUUUUUCUGUGGGGUCAGAUGCCAAGUCCAGGUGAACCAGAGCCUGCUGGAGGUCACCAGGGAAGGAGAGACUUCCACCAUCGCCUGCAAGUAUGAAUCAAGCUCUUUCUACAGCUUGCAAUGGUACCGGCAGUUCCCGGGAGAGGGGCCUAUGCAUCUGCUCACGAUAACGGGAACGGGUUCCAGAAAGGAACCCAACUUCAGCGCCGACCACAACAAAAAGGAGAAGUCAAGUCGCCUGAACAUCACCGGGGUCCAGCGCAGAGACGCAGCCACCUACUUCUGUGUUGUGGAAGCACAGUGA
Molecule: non-coding RNA, 345 nt
Organism: Gekko japonicus
Lineage: Eukaryota; Metazoa; Chordata; Lepidosauria; Squamata; Gekkonidae
Source: the annotation of a RefSeq genome assembly